Rhinolophus ferrumequinum (greater horseshoe bat) is the source of this 621-nucleotide long non-coding RNA. RefSeq lists it as uncharacterized. The record is from RefSeq and is a predicted model, not a curated record. The transcript is spliced from 3 exons. NCBI's taxonomy places the organism in Eukaryota, Metazoa, Chordata, Mammalia, Chiroptera, Rhinolophidae.
AAAAAUGUUUUUAUAUUGAAAAGAGUGGCAAUAAAGGUCGAAGUAAAAAUGAAGGACAUUUAUAUAGCAUGCUUACUGAGUGUGAGUCCUUCAAGUUUUUUAUGAUGAGAAGGAUGUUUGACAGUGUCUGAUCACCUGGAUAUAUCCUCAGGAAAUCUGGCUACAGGGGAUCCUUCCUGGAAGAGACCAGACUGCUCAGGAUGAUUUCCCAGGAAUCUGGCACUUUUGGCAUUGCUCUGCUGGAGGCUGCAUGACUGACUGCUCUCCACAGGGACAAAACACAAAAAGCACAAAACCAAACAAUCCAACAACGACCACAAAGAUUGGAAUGCUAUCGCCUACCUCAGGGGCUCAUGCAAGGAUUCCGUGAGAGAAUGCAAGAUGGCGUUCAUCAAAUGAAUGGUAGCGUCACCAUGUGACCCUCAGGGCAGUCAAAGAAAACGGUGGAAGCACGGUUGUCAUUCGAGGAGCGCAAGACCAUUUUGAAGUGGUAUUUGAAAUUUGAGCAACGUUGUGAAAGUACGACGACAAUGGAGGCGUGAGUAUGCAAUAGAGCCUCCAACCCGCCUAACAACUGCACGCGUUCGUGACAAGUUUGAGACACAUGGUGCUCUACGAGAU